RNAcentral lists this ribosomal RNA (252 nucleotides) under uncultured bacterium. Its description in RNAcentral is "partial 16S ribosomal RNA". It matches the Rfam family "Bacterial small subunit ribosomal RNA", at positions 524 to 776 of the family's 1533-position model. The record is from RNAcentral.
UACGGAGGGUGCGAGCGUUGUCCGGAUUUAUUGGGUUAAAGGGUGCGUAGGUGGGUUAAUAAGUCAGUGGUGAAAUACGGUUGCUCAACAAUCGAGGUGCCAUUGAUACUGUUAAUCUUGAAACAAGUGGAGGUUGCCGGAAUGGAUGGUGUAGCGGUGAAAUGCAUAGAUAUCAUCCAGAACACCGAUUGCGAAGGCAGGUGACUACGUUUGAUUUGACACUGAGGCACGAAAGCAUGGGGAGCAAACAGG